GGCUGCUUCAAAGGUAGUCAGUUAUCUCAAUGUUCGCAGUCAGUUACAGAUAGAACUCCUUGUUCUACUUUUUCCUCCCUUCUCACUACUGCAGUUGACUGGUCUUGA
Molecule: Y RNA, 108 nt
Filed under: Sapajus apella (tufted capuchin)
Lineage: Eukaryota; Metazoa; Chordata; Mammalia; Primates; Cebidae
Also listed under: 1 other name
Description: Cebus apella (Tufted capuchin) Y RNA
Rfam family: Y RNA
About the family: Y RNAs are components of the Ro ribonucleoprotein particle (Ro RNP), in association with Ro60 and La proteins. The Y RNAs and Ro60 and La proteins are well conserved, but the function of the Ro RNP is not known.
Source: Rfam by way of RNAcentral